Molecule: long non-coding RNA, 1966 nt
Organism: Ictalurus punctatus (channel catfish)
Lineage: Eukaryota; Metazoa; Chordata; Actinopteri; Siluriformes; Ictaluridae
Source: Ensembl
GGUUAGGGUUAAAGUGUGUAAGGAGACACAGGAUGAAUGCGAACUACUUUUGUUAUUGUACUUUUGAUGAAAACUGACUUUCUAGACAUAAAAUGUCACUUUUUUCACCUUAUCAUACUUUUUCAUCAACUUUUGCAUUUUAAUGUAAACAAUCAUAUUUCGUAAUAUUUUGGGUCAGAAACAUCUCUUAGUGCUAUAUUAUGUCUAACUAUGUGAAAAAAAUCAAAUUGGAGUAGGUCGGGCAACUGAUUAUAUGAGUUUGUUAGAAAAACCACUUUCCUUUGCUCCUAGCGCCUUCUCGUUCGCUCUAUAGCGUUUUGAGCGGAUAAAGAGCACAAGUGUGUAAGGAGACACAGGAUGAAUGCGAACUACUUUUGUUGAUUUUUUUCACAUAGUUAGACAUAAUAUAGUACUAAGAAAUGUUUCUGACCCAAAUAUUACGAAAUAUGAUUGUUUACAUUAAAAUGCAAAAGUUGAUGAAAAAGUAUGAUAAGGUGAAAAAAGUGACAUUUUAUGUCUAGAAAGUCAGUUUUCAUCAAAAGUACAAUAACAAAAGUAGUUCGCAUGCAUCCUGUGUCUCCUUACACACUUGUGCUCUUUAUCCGCUCAAAACACUAUAGAGCGAACGAGAAGGCGCUAGGAGCAAAGGAAAGUGGUUUUUCUAACAAACUCAUAUAAUCAGUUGCCCGACCUACUCCAAUUUGAUUUUUUUCACAUAGUUAGACAUAAUAUAGUACUAAGAAAUGUUUCUGACCCAAAAUAUUAUGAAAUAUGAUUGUUUACAUUAAAAUGCAAAAGUUGAUGAAAAAGUAUGAUAAGGUGAAAAAAGUGACAUUUUAUGUCUAGAAAGUCACUUUUCAUCAAAAGUACAAUAACAAAUCUAGUUCACAUUCAUCCUGUGUCCCCUUACACACUUGUGCUCUUUAUCCGCUCAAAACGCUAUAGAGCGAACGAGAAGGCGCUAGGAGCAAAGGAAAGUGGUUUUUCUAACAAACUCAUAUAAUCAGUUGCCCGACCUACUCCAAUUUGAUUUUUUUCACAUAGUUAGACAUAAUAUAGUACUAAGAGAUGUUUCUGACCCAAAAUAUUACGAAAUAUGAUUGUUUACAUUAAAAUGCAAAAGUUGAUGAAAAAGUAUGAUAAGGUGAAAAAAGUGACAUUUUAUGUCUAGAAAGUCACUUUUCAUCAAAAUACAAUAACAAAUCUAGUUCACAUUCAUCCUGUGUCCCCUUACACACUUGUGCUCUUUAUCCGCUCAAAACGCUAUACAGCGAACUAGAAGGCGCUAGGAGCAAAGGAAAGUGGUUUUUCUAACAAACUCAUAUAAUCAGUUGCCCGACCUACUCCAAUUUGAUUCUUGUCGCAUAUUUACACAUAAUAUAGUACUAUGAAAUGUUUCUGACCCAAAAUAUUACGAAAUAGGAUUGUUUACAUUAAAAUGCAAAAGUUGAUGAAAAAGUAUGAUAAGGUGAAAAAAGUGACAUUUUAUGUCUAGAAAGUCAGUUUUCAUCAAAAGUACAAUAACAAAUCUAGUUCACAUUCAUCCUGUGUCCCCUUACACACUUGUGCUCUUUAUCCACUCAAAACGCUAUACAGCGAACUAGAAGGCGCUAGGAGCAAAGGAAAGUGUUUUUUUCUAACAAACUCAUAUAAUCAGUUGCCCGACCUACUCCAAUUUGAUUCUUUUCACAUAGUUAGACAUAAUAUAGUACUAUGAAAUGUUUCUGACCCAAAAUAUUAUGAAAUGCGAUUGUUUACAUUAAAAUGCAAAAGUUGAUGAAAAAGUAUGAUAAGGUGAAAAAAGUGACAUUUUAUGUCUAGAAAGUCACUUUUCAUCAAAAGUACAAUAACAAAUCUAGUUCACAUUCAUCCUGUGUCCCCUUACACACUUGUGCUCUUUAUCCGCUCAAAACGCUAUACAGCGAACGAGAAGGCGCUAGGAGCAAAGGAAAGUGGUUUUUCUAAC